Molecule: long non-coding RNA, 477 nt
Filed under: Setaria italica (foxtail millet)
Lineage: Eukaryota; Viridiplantae; Streptophyta; Magnoliopsida; Poales; Poaceae
Description: long non-coding RNA (SITA_LNC003082)
Source: RNAcentral
CUACACACAAGAAGAUCGAAUCAGAAGCACAAAUAUUAUGCUAGAAAUUAACGAGUGAGGCAAACCAAAAGGAGACACAAGGAUUUGUUUCUCCGAAGUUCAGAUUCACCCCUAUGAAUCCUACGUCUCCAUUGAGGUGCCUAUUGGAAUACGAGUCUAUUUCAACUCUCUUCCAACAAGCCGGGUCUCUUUCGACUACUUUCCUUAUUUUCACUAGUUUGAUCUUUUUCCUUGCGGAGGUAAGAUCGUAGCCCUCACAAACUUACCACUGCUCACCACACCUUGGGAUCUAACCGGCGACGCCUAGCCGUCUAGGAGGCACACCUCCAAGAGUAACAAAUGCUUCAAUGCUUUCUUGACAUCAACCAUAAGUGCUCAAGCUAUGGAUUGCUCUUCUCACCUCACAAUUUCUCUCAAUUGACUUCUCUCUACAACCCAACUCACAAGAUCUCACAAGGAUCACACAACCUCACAAAG